UCUUUGCCCAUUUCUCUAGUACUAAUGGUGGGAUAAGAUCAAUUCAAAGACAGAGGAUUGUGCAUGGAAUCUCCUAUGCGUCAAUUUGAUUGAUCUUGCAAGGAAGUGUUGCUGAUUGCAUCACAGCAAUCACUUAUUAUAUUGCUGUUCACCUGGUGCUUGGAGUUUUGACUGACCUUUCUAAUGACCUGGACCGGAUUUCCUGAUGGAUAAACUGUAGAUUGACAGUGUUUCAUUCAGAGCCAUUACUAUAGCCCAUGGCUAGCAAGCUGCUGUGAAACUCUUCCUUUUGAGUAUCUGCACUAUAACAGUGCCAACAAAAUGCAGAAGCAAGUGGAGAUCAGAAUGCAAGAGAGUCAUCUGGACCUUCCUCCACUGCCUGAAGAGUCCAUGUGUGGAGGCUUCUGUGACAAAAUCAUGAAGCAUCUGUUACUUACGCUCACAGUUUUUGGUGUGAUCACUGGUUCAGUAGCUGGUAUUCUGCUGCGUUACGCAUCACCACUCCCCGCUGAUGUUAUAAUGGUCAUUGCCUUCCCGGGUGACAUUCUCAUGAGGAUGUUAAAAAUGGUGAUUUUGCCUCUGAUCAUCUCAAGUUUGAUCACAGGAUUAGCAGGGUUGGAUGCCAAGUCCAGUGGUCGUCUGGGCACAAGGGCCAUGGUGUAUUACAUGUCUACCACCAUCAUCGCAGCUGUGUUGGGAGUUAUCUUGGUGCUCCUCAUCCACCCUGGUAACCCCAAACUGAAGGCAAACUUGGGCGAAGGCAAAAAGAACGACGAAGUGUCCAGUUUAGAUGCCUUCUUUGAUCUCAUCAGAAAUCUCUUUCCAGAAAAUCUCGUUCAGGCUUGUUUUCAGCAGAUCCAGACUGUUACUAACAAGGUAGAAGUAGCUCCUCCUCCAAAUCCAACCCGGUUUGGACGAAAUGCUACUAAGGGAGCAGCAAAAUAUGUAAUCAAGAAGUCUCUUCAAUUUAAGAGUGGCAUGAAUGUUUUAGGUCUCAUUGGGUUCUUUGUGGCGUUUGGGAUUUGCAUGGGAAAGAUGGGAGAAAGGGCCAAGCUGAUGCUUGAGUUCUUCAACGUUCUCAACGAGAUCGUUAUGAGGCUUGUUGGCGCAAUCAUGUGGUAUUCCCCCAUUGGUAUUGCAUGUCUGAUCUGUGGGAAGAUUAUUUCAAUUAAUGAUUUGGAAAUGGUGGCCAAGCAGCUGGGAAUGUACAUGGUCACUGUUAUCAUUGGACUUAUUAUUCACGGAGCCAUGUUCCUUCCCUUAAUAUAUUUUGUUAUUGUUCGGAAAAACCCAUUCACAUUCUUCAUGGGAAUCUUUCAGGCAUGGGUCACUGCUUUAGGAACAGCUUCGAGUGCUGGGACAUUACCUGUUACUUUCCGCUGUCUGGAGGAAAAUCUGGGCAUUGACAAGAGAGUGACUCGAUUUGUGUUACCUGUUGGAGCAACGAUCAACAUGGAUGGUACAGCACUUUAUGAGGCAGUAGCAGCCAUCUUUAUUGCACAGAUGAAUGGAAUAGAACUCGAUCCUGGUCAGAUCGUGACAGUCAGCCUUACAGCGACUCUCGCUAGCGUAGGAGCUGCCAGUAUUCCCAGUGCUGGUCUGGUGACGAUGCUUCUGAUCUUGACAGCUGUGGGACUACCGACUCAAGACAUCAGUUUACUGGUAGCAGUCGACUGGCUACUGGACCGUUUCCGAACAUCCGUCAAUGUCGUUGGUGACUCAUACGGUGCUGGAAUCGUGUACCACCUCUCCAAAGAUGAGCUCGACAUGUUUGAUGCACAGCAGAUAAGGCCAGAUGACUUUGAGAUGGCCAAGAAACAAUCCUUCUUUGAGAAUAACACUAACAACGGUGUAUAUGCAUCUCACAACUCCUAUCAGCCGGUCCAAAUAGAUGACUGCAAGGUACAUUUUACUCUCACAGACAUAGAAACCUGUAUGUAGAUGCUUUUAUUUAUUUCCCCGACAUUGUAUGUACCAUUGUGAUAUUUUUUUAUUUGAUUUUUUUGACACUUUUUGUAUUUUUUGGUCAUCCCUGAUGUGAAUGCAUAAGAUGUUAAACAGAAUGAAGGAAUAAUUUAAAAUACUUUAUUUAUUUGUUCUAGUACUUGGUGAAAUAGCAGUUUUGUAUAGACUUUGUAUAUCCAUAUCAGUAUUUGGACAUCAUCAAUUUGGCACUUAUACACAUGCACAGUAAAUCCUUCAAAUGUUUGUAUAGUACUAAUGCCAAGAUGCCUUUGGCUGCACUCUCUCUCUCUCUCUCUCUCUCUCAAAAAAAAAAAAAUUCUGAAAGUUUAACAAAGCAGUGCAUUAAGGCACACCUCAAUUUUGCCAUCUAGAUUUUGAAAUGACGGCUGCUAUUUCAUUUCUUUCAACUUCAGUGUUUUUAAGCUUCACAAAAAAAUGUUUGUUUUCCAUCAUUAAGAGAACUGCAGUUGUUUUCUUUCUUUUUUGUAAGUUUUAAGCCUCUUUUUGACCCAGUGUUUCACAAAUGCAUAGGUCUGUGUGGUAGCACGCGUGGCUCUUUUUCACAUCCCCUUUAGAAGAUUAGAUUUGGGCAGAGAUUCACUCUAAUUAGUAAAAAUAAUAAUAAUAAUAAUAAUUAAAAUACAAAGUUUGUAUUUACAAUAUAUAACAUUUCAAAUGAUUUUCUCUAUCUGUAUUCAGUCUUUCAGCAUUCUGUAAGGAAUCCCGCUGCAGCUAAUUAUUAUCUGUCUUGUGGUAACCUUGGCCUCAAAUGGCUCCCCUGCGGAGUUCUCACUUGUUGAGGAGGAACCAUGGAUACACGCGUAACACAGCACACAGAUCCAGCUCCGCCUUAUCCUGAAUCCCACAAUCUUAUCCUUUCUGGUGAAAACCAAAUGCUAAUUUUGUACAUAUAAACAGUCAGAAGUUACCACAGAAAGUUUCAUAUGCACAAGCAAUGACUUUUAUGACAGCAUCAGUACAUUUGAUACACAAAGGGAUGAGAACGUAUCUCAAAGUAGCGGGUGGUUCAGGUCAGGCUGCAUAUUAUUUACACUCAAGGAUUACAAUAGUUAUUAUUCUAGGCCUUGGGUUUGAGUAUCAGUCUGAAACCUGCUGCCUUAAGGCUACCACAUAGAAGGAUAGCAGUGGUUUGUCCAGCCACAGAAUGACCCUAGAGCACUACUAGUGGCAGGAGGAGAGAAGUGCAGCUUGUUUGCUGAAGAUACCUUUGACUGGCUCGGCUUACGUGGAUUAACCCUUGGUGGCAGCACCCCAGAUCAGCCUCUUAUAAGAGCUUACCAGUGUUCUUAGAGGUUCUGAAAUAGUGGUUUGCGUCCAAAUGCUGCCACUUAUAUUUAGACGCUGCCCGACGUAAAUUCCACAUCAGCAAUUACAGAGCAAUCAGACAUGAAGAAUGACACUGAGUCGCUUGACGUUAUCCGCAAGGACAUUUAAAUAUCCUGCAUAGUGGACUGAAUAGUUUUCAUUCAAACAAGUCUCCAUGUGUGUUUAUAUUUGAGGAAAGGGACUUGUAGGUUUUGUAUGUAUCUGUGUGCUUUGUUAAGUUGUUGAUUUAUUUAUUUAUUUAUUUGCUAAGUUACAAACUUGCCUUGAAGAUAUCAACUUCAAACUGCAGACGGAAGACUUUAUGACGUUAAUAUGAAAUGCAACCCCAUUUUCUUGGAUCUUAGACCAUUAAUAGUGUUUGAUUCUCUGAGGAGAAUUCUUGGAAACUCAGAUAAUUAAGUCCAGUUGAAUGGAUACUGUAUUCACACUGAUAAGAGAGUCCCUCAGGUUAUUUGGUGCUCAGGUUACAUGUUAGCAUGUAAAAGAAAAAAGAUGACCGAAAUGAGAUCUAUCAUUAAAUCUGCGCCAUUUAUUUGGUAGUCUGUAAUAGCAAAACGAUCAGCAUUCCUCUUUUGCACCAGAAUCUUAAAAUGUUCUAAUUAAAGUGCCUCCUUGCACUUUCUGUACAUAUAUAUAUAUAAAUACACAUAUGUAUGCUGUCAUAUUUUAGAUGUAUUUUUCAUGCAAAUUAAAGUGUAGUAUCAAUUUUAUGACUUUUGCCUAUUGUUUUAUAAAACAGUGGCAAUUCAUGUAUUCAAUACUGAUGCAGUAUUCAGUAUAUUACUAAGUAGAUUAGAGCGUAACAGGUUGUCUUAAGUAGUUAUUGCUCUCAUAUACUGUACAAGUCACAUGGAACAGGAUGAGUAAAAUUUAUGUAUAUGAAUGUAAGCAUAUUUUUCACUGUUACAAUUCAUGGUGAUAUUGUGUCUAAAAUAUUGUGUAUUGUUAAACAUUUUGGUAGGAAUAAUGACACUAGGGUGAAAAAGUCAAAUUACUAAUCAUUAUAAACCAGGCUUGCUACAGAUUUAACAGCCUUAUAGAGAACUUGAGUAUGUAUUUUGAGGAAAUGAAACACAACCUAGAGACAGUAUCUAUAAUGUAAAAGUGUGCACUGUUGAAAUAUCUGUUCAGGCAGGAACUGACACGGUACAGUGAUGUAUGUUAACAAAUAUUGUAUGACAAACCUGCUCUUUUUAUUUGUGCAGCCCUGUUCGGUUUCAAAAACAUUGUAUUACUUGUCUACCAAACUUGAUUUUGCAUCCAUGUCUUUUUCCUCUAUUUUUCUAUGAAACACCUGUAACAAAUUGUAAAUAAAGGCAAUGCUUCUUGUCUCA
RNA transcript from Carassius gibelio (silver crucian carp), 4646 nucleotides. It is a transcript of the gene named excitatory amino acid transporter 2-like, with no coding region annotated. The record is from RefSeq and is a predicted model, not a curated record. Lineage: Eukaryota; Metazoa; Chordata; Actinopteri; Cypriniformes; Cyprinidae. The transcript is spliced from 11 exons.